RNAcentral lists this non-coding RNA (161 nucleotides) under uncultured Leptotrichia sp. The record is from RNAcentral. Lineage: Bacteria; Fusobacteriati; Fusobacteriota; Fusobacteriia; Fusobacteriales; Leptotrichiaceae.
AGAUACAGGUGUUUUUUAACUUAAUAAGGAAAUCGGUUAAAAUCCGAUACAGCCACCACUACUGUGAAAUGGACGAAAGUGUAUAGCCACUGAAAAUAAAAAAAUUUUUGGGAAGGAUACGAGUAGGAUGAAGUUAGUCAGGAGACUUGCCUGUAAUCUUU